Non-coding RNA from Podarcis lilfordi (Lilford's wall lizard), 75 nucleotides. The record is from the annotation of a GenBank genome assembly. Lineage: Eukaryota; Metazoa; Chordata; Lepidosauria; Squamata; Lacertidae.
GGAAGGCCUGUAGCCCAAUGGUAGAGCAUUUGUUUUGCGUGCAGAAGGUCCCAGGUUCAUUCCCUGACAUCUCCA